This is a non-coding RNA of Microcebus murinus (gray mouse lemur), 408 nucleotides long. The record is from RefSeq and is a predicted model, not a curated record. NCBI's taxonomy places the organism in Eukaryota, Metazoa, Chordata, Mammalia, Primates, Cheirogaleidae.
UCUAGCCACAGUAGUGUAUGAAUAAAAGUGUCAUUUCUGGGCUGACUGUUAGUGUGAGACCCUUGGCGUUUUCUUCUAACAAAUUCCUCAUGUCCCUAACAGACAUUCCCUGAGCAUGAGCGCUGAGGAAACAGAAUGUGAGGAACUGGAGAGAUGAGCCAGACAUGCCCUCGGGAACUCGCGGUCUGGUAGACCUGCCCUGGCCUGGGCCAUCCCUGCACUCAUGAUGAGUCUAUGCCCCUCUGGGCUACCUUCCCCCAAAUUCAUGCUCUCCCUUGGAAAAGACUCCUCCUCUGACCAGAAACAGGCUCAGCACAUCACCUGCAGGUCUCUGGGCAACCAGAUACUGGCGUGACCAGAGCUGAAAGGACACUGGCUUCAUCCUCUUGUUCCAGGCAAAACAGCCUA